GAGGCUCCCAGCCAGACUACUGGGUUGAUAGGCCAGAUGUGGAAGCACGGCAACGUGUGCAGCUGACUGGUACUAAUAAGCCGACGACUUGAUAACAC
RNAcentral lists this ribosomal RNA (98 nucleotides) under Microbacterium bovistercoris. RNAcentral's name for it is "Microbacterium sp. NEAU-LLE partial 23S ribosomal RNA". It matches the Rfam family "Bacterial large subunit ribosomal RNA", at positions 2830 to 2925 of the family's 2925-position model. The record is from RNAcentral. Lineage: Bacteria; Bacillati; Actinomycetota; Actinomycetes; Micrococcales; Microbacteriaceae.